This 253-nucleotide ribosomal RNA is filed under the name uncultured bacterium. RNAcentral describes it as "partial 16S ribosomal RNA". It matches the Rfam family "Bacterial small subunit ribosomal RNA", at positions 524 to 776 of the family's 1533-position model. The record is from RNAcentral.
CACGUAGGGCGCAAGCGUUGUCCGGAAUUAUUGGGCGUAAAGAGCUCGUAGGCGGUCUGUUGCGUCCGCUGUGAAAACUCGGGGCUUAACCCCGAGCCUGCAGUGGAUACGGGCAGACUAGAGGUAGGUAGGGGAGAAUGGAAUUCCCGGUGUAGCGGUGAAAUGCGCAGAUAUCGGGAGGAACACCGGUGGCGAAGGCGGUUCUCUGGGCCUUACCUGACGCUGAGGAGCGAAAACGUGGGGAGCGAACAGG